UUGAUACCUACUCCUGAUUUAUGAUAUAAAUAAUUUUCUCAGAACUUCAGAGCACAGAGAGGUCCCUGUGGGGGUGACAAAAUGCACCUACCUCACAGCUCAAUCUCUUAAUUUGGUUUCCAGGUGCUACUGUCACUCACGAUGUCCAUAACAAGAAGAUGGAAAAUAAUCCGACCCCACCUGAGGGCUUCUUGCCAAAAUCUGCUGCACCAGGGGUGAUGAAUAUGUCAGGAGCUGGUAUUCCACCCAACCAAAUGGGUUCUCCCUGUGACGACUUCACUAAAGAUGACCUGAUUCAUAAACCUGGUAGUAAUUCACUUGGAGGAGGAACCAAAAGCCACAGUGUCUCUGCAGAAUAUGAAAGAGUUUUCACUUUGAAGAAGUGCAAUGACCUCUUGCAGUCAAGAAACAGUUUGUUGAAUAUACCAUCAAGGAAGCUGAAAGUUUAAAAGAGGAGUCUUAAUUCAGCAACUUGAGAAGGUCCUAGAAAAAAUAGAAUCCUGCCACCAUCUCAAGAAAGUUAAUGAUCAGAAAAGUAAAUAAUUGUUCUUGUAAAGACCACUGAGAAGCAAGGAUGAAUUUUCUGUGCUGUAUGCUGCAAUGAGAUACUUCUGAAGCCUUCCUAAAAUUUAGUCAAGAAAAUUAUAGUCAAGAAAAGGAUAAGCAAAAAGGCAGUGGAGCCUUUUAGUUUUAUGGUUCUUUGUCAGUAAAAGAUGGGCUAUAUAUAGCCCUAAGAGUUUCCUAUGAAAGUAAUUUGUUGUUUCUUUAUUUUUUUGUUGUCU
Molecule: long non-coding RNA, 782 nt
Filed under: Vulpes vulpes (red fox)
Lineage: Eukaryota; Metazoa; Chordata; Mammalia; Carnivora; Canidae
Description: lncRNA (ENSVVUG00000010791.1)
Source: RNAcentral